UGAGGAAUAUUGGUCAAUGGACGCAAGUCUGAACCAGCCAAGUAGAGUGCAGGAUGACGGCCCUAUGGGUUGUAAACUGCUUUUAUAUGGGGAUAAAGUGGGGAACGUGUUCCCUUUUGCAGGUACCAUAUGAAUAAGGACCGGCUAAUUCCGUGCCAGCAGCCGCGGUAAUACGGAAGGUUCGGGCGUUAUCCGGAUUUAAUGGGUUUAAAGGGAGCGUAGGCCGUUUGGUAAGCGUGUUGUGAAAUGUAGGAGCUCAACUUCUAGAUUGCAGCGCGAACUGUCAGACUUGAGUGCGCACAACGUAGGCGGAAUUCAUGGUGUAGCGGUGAAAUGCUUAGAUAUCAUGAAGAACUCCGAUUGCGAAGGCAGCUUACGGGAGCGCAACUGACGCUGAAGCUCGAAGGUGCGGGUAUCGAACAGG
This 424-nucleotide ribosomal RNA is filed under the name Verrucomicrobiota bacterium. RNAcentral describes it as "Verrucomicrobia bacterium partial 16S ribosomal RNA". It matches the Rfam family "Bacterial small subunit ribosomal RNA", at positions 355 to 776 of the family's 1533-position model. Lineage: Bacteria; Pseudomonadati; Verrucomicrobiota. The record is from RNAcentral.